UGGGGAAUAUUGCGCAAUGGGCGAAAGCCUGACGCAGCCAUGCCGCGUGUGUGAAGAAGGCCUUAGGGUUGUAAAGCACUUUCAAUUGGGAAGAAAGGUUGUACGUUAAUAGCGUGCAGCUGUGACAUUACCUUUAGAAGAAGCACCGGCUAACUCCGUGCCAGCAGCCGCGGUAAUACGGAGGGUGCGAGCGUUAAUCGGAAUUACUGGGCGUAAAGCGCGCGUAGGCGGUUUGUUAAGUCGGAUGUGAAAGCCCUGGGCUCAACCUGGGAACUGCAUUCGAUACUGGCCAACUAGAGUGCGAGAGAGGGAGGUAGAAUUCCACGUGUAGCGGUGAAAUGCGUAGAUAUGUGGAGGAAUACCGGUGGCGAAGGCGGCCUCCUGGCUCGACACUGACGCUGAGGUGCGAAAGCGUGGGGAGCAAACA
Molecule: ribosomal RNA, 427 nt
Filed under: uncultured bacterium
Lineage: Bacteria
Description: bacterial SSU rRNA
Rfam family: Bacterial small subunit ribosomal RNA
Source: RNAcentral